AAUCAGUAUAAACGACAAUUUACAAGUUCAACAGUAAAUGUACAUUCUUUGUAUCUAGGAUUUUUGAGUUGCAAGUUAAACUGAAUUUUUACUGCAGUGGAGAGGAAGAGCACAGCAGACAAAAUAACAGCCCUGUACUUACUUUAGCAAGAUGCAGUGAAUUUGUGACCAGAGAAACAAAUAAUUCAGGCUUGGAGGAAACACUUGACUAUAUCCUGGGAAACUAGAGUUGAAGCCUGAGAUCUGAAACUAGGCUAGUAAUCAUUUUAAUAGAUGGCAACUAUUCAAUUGUUCAUUGCUCAGGAGUAGCAGGAAGGAAUGGACUUCUAAAAGCCUGUAAACUAAUCUCCACGGAGAAACUUCCUCUGUGUGUUAUUUGAUGGAAAAAUACUGAAGGACACAGCCAAAUGAAGUCAUCUCCACCAGAGGGCACAACUGCCUUCCUUCUGAGUAUGAAGAAGGUAACUGUUAUUUUCCUGGUGUUCCCGGCUCUUCAAAUGGCCAUGCUGUCAAAACAGUUUAGUUUAAUCAGGUUA
Molecule: non-coding RNA, 536 nt
Organism: Saimiri boliviensis boliviensis (Bolivian squirrel monkey)
Lineage: Eukaryota; Metazoa; Chordata; Mammalia; Primates; Cebidae
Source: RefSeq, a predicted model, not a curated record